GACGAACGCUGGCAGCGUGCUUAACACAUGCAAGUCGAGCGGUAAGGCCCUUUCGGGGGUACACGAGCGGCGAACGGGUGAGUAACACGUGGUGACCUGCCCUCAGCUCUGGGAUAAGCCCUGGGAAACCGGGUCUAAUACCGGAUAUGACUCCAUGACGCAUGUUGUGGGUGAAAGCCUUGUGCGGCUGAGGAUGGGCCCGNGGCCUAUCAGCUUGUUGGUGGGGUGAGGCCUACCAAGGCGACGACGGGUAGCCGGCCUGAGAGGCGACCGGCCACACUGGGACUGAGACACGGCCCAGACUCCUACGGGAGGCAGCAGUGGGAAUCUUGCGCAAUGGGCGAAAGCCUGACGCAGCGACG
This 362-nucleotide ribosomal RNA is filed under the name uncultured bacterium. RNAcentral describes it as "bacterial SSU rRNA". It matches the Rfam family "Bacterial small subunit ribosomal RNA", at positions 28 to 396 of the family's 1533-position model. The record is from RNAcentral.